AACGGCGAGUGAAGAGGGAAUAGCCCAGCACCGAAGCCUGCGGCAGAUUUGCUGUUAGGCAAUGUGGUGUUUGGGUCGGCUAGUGGGAUUGCCACUCCACUCGAAGUCCAGCAUUGAGUAUGGUCACUGGAUUUGGCCCAGAGAGGGUGAAAGGCCCGUACGGGUGGAGGUUCAGACAUGUAAGGCAGUUCACCAGGCCGGCCUUAGAGUCGGGUUGUUUGGGAAUGCAGCCCAAAGAGGGUGGUAAACUCCAUCCAAGGCUAAAUACAAGCACGAGUCCGAUAGCGAACAAGUACCGUGAGGGAAAGUUGAAAAGUACUUUGAAGAGAGAGUAAACAGUACGUGAAACCGCAUGCAGGUAAACGGGUGGCGUCAAGCUGCAAGCCCAGAGAAUUCAGCUGACUAGGGUGCAUGCGUCUGUCGCAUCAAUCAGUCGGAAUAAGAUGUUAAUAGUCCACUGGGUUACGGUGGACCCGGCCGCAAGGUUGGGACAUGCGUACCGGGCGGAAGCCGGAGCAUACUGUUCAUCUGUUGGACUGUCUAGUUAGUGCACUUUCUCUGUGGUGAACACCACGACCGGUGGAAUUGCCAGUCUGCUGUAGUCAAGUUGUGCUGAGUUGGUUCUUGUAAUCAGCUGGGUGCGAUCACAGGCAAAUUCAGUAAACGGCGUAAGGGUGUUUCGGCACCUUUGCGUGUUAUCGGCUACUGGUUGUCAACGGGCCUGCCUUAUGAUUGUUGUAACUGUCAUUUGGUGGUCUGGUGGACUAUGGUGGUAUGAAUAACUGUGCAAGGCAUCGGAGUUUUCGGCCUCAAAUGCAUCCCGCAUACACGUUACAAGUGGUGCGGGGUGCCAUUGCUAUCUGCCUGUUGUUGGGUCUGAUUGUCGUGUCGCCUGCACAAAGUGGGCCCGGCAGUGGCUCGAUAUGGGAUAGGUGGUGGAUGGUGCUCCCGGUGUGGGGUGCGGUGGGCCAAAUAGUCAGUGGUGUAGUGGUAGACGAGCUACCCGACCCGUCUUGAAACACGGACCAAGGAGUUUAACAUGUAUGCGAGUCAUGGGGUCCUACGAAACCCAAAGGCGCAGUGAAAGUGAAGCUUCGACUUGUUCUCGAAGUGAGGUGAGAUCCUGCCGUUACUCGCAUCAGCCUAAUGUCAGCAUCAGGUUAAGAGCGGCAGGCGCAUCACCGGCCCGUCCCAUGAUGUGGUCAUUGGAUGUCUGUAGUUGUCGCUCGCGGCAGCUGUGGUGCCAGUGCGUC
RNAcentral lists this ribosomal RNA (1253 nucleotides) under Calliobothrium euzeti. Its description in RNAcentral is "eukaryotic LSU rRNA". It matches the Rfam family "Eukaryotic large subunit ribosomal RNA", at positions 85 to 804 of the family's 3401-position model. The record is from RNAcentral. Lineage: Eukaryota; Metazoa; Platyhelminthes; Cestoda; Tetraphyllidea; Onchobothriidae.